Molecule: non-coding RNA, 589 nt
Organism: Pelobates cultripes (western spadefoot toad)
Lineage: Eukaryota; Metazoa; Chordata; Amphibia; Anura; Pelobatidae
Source: the annotation of a GenBank genome assembly
GUUCGAUCCCGAACCCGAACAUCCAGUGUCCGCUCAACUCUAUUAAAAACGGCUCUGGGUCCACUGGCAAGUAAGUUAUUUGGGUUCAAUGGGCGUGUGUCUGAUCAGGCUAUAGCUUCACCUAAUUGUAAUCUUUACAGUGUCGAUAAAGAAAUAACAAAUAUUACUAUGAGACCAAAAGAUGGUCCACGAGAAGUGUCUCAAUGGUUAUUGUUCUGGUCUACAUUGCUCCAGUCACAGCAUUGUAUGAUGUUGGGUUCACCAGAACACACAACUAAAGUAAUGGAAGCCCUUCCCUGGAAGUGUCAAGAUUUUGUCAGGCUUUUUGAAUCAACACCAUCAGACAUAGAAAUGGUACUAACUAGAGCUGACAAGUGGUGGAUCAAGCAUCCUUUCACAGUACAGGCCUGCUCUGUUUCAGCCGUAAGAACAUUCCAGGUCACCUCUGGUAGAUAUACAGAUGGUAAAUGGAGCAAGAGGGAUAAUGAGAACUGGAGCCCAAAACAGGUCUUUGAGAAAAGAUGGUUUGAAUAGGAAUAGUGCUAAAGGGAGCAAUGUAAUGGGAGAUAAUUGGAGAAAUAGAUGGGAG